UGCCAGCCGCCGCGGUAAUACGGAGGGAGCUAGCGUUGUUCGGAAUUACUGGGCGUAAAGCGUGCGUAGGCGGAUCGACAAGUCAGAUGUGAAAUCCCGGGGCUCAACCUCGGAACUGCCUCCGAUACUGGCAGCCUAGAGAUCUGGAGAGGCGAGUGGAAUUCCGAGUGUAGAGGUGAAAUUCGUAGAUAUUCGGAGGAACACCAGUGGCGAAGGCGACCACCUGGUACAGUAUUGACGCUGAGAUGCGAAAGCGUGGGGAGCAAACAGGAUUAGAUA
RNAcentral lists this ribosomal RNA (279 nucleotides) under uncultured bacterium. RNAcentral describes it as "partial 16S ribosomal RNA". It matches the Rfam family "Bacterial small subunit ribosomal RNA", at positions 506 to 784 of the family's 1533-position model. The record is from RNAcentral.